Piliocolobus tephrosceles (Ugandan red Colobus) is the source of this 4893-nucleotide long non-coding RNA. RefSeq lists it as uncharacterized. The transcript has 2 exons. The record is from RefSeq and is a predicted model, not a curated record. NCBI's taxonomy places the organism in Eukaryota, Metazoa, Chordata, Mammalia, Primates, Cercopithecidae.
UAAAAUCUACUCUAUUAGCAGUUGUACUUGCUGUUGACAGUGUACCUCUCUGUAAACUCUGUUUAAUGUGCCCACUCAGCAUGUGAUUUAAAGAUCUGCAAUAAAGAAGUCCACUGCGACCAACAGACUCACAGCUUCACAGCAGCCCAGAACAGUGUGCUUCUCCUUACCCCUGCCCCCAUAGGAAGACCUGCCUACAAAUCUCUCAAUUUCACAAGCAGAUAAAUAAAGAGGUGCAAAUAGGAGAGAAGUGGAGUAUGAACCCACAACACAUGAUGGAGAUCAAGGAAGUAGAGCUUCAGGAGCAGAGACCCAGACCCAGGGCCUUCAAAUCAAGGGCAGAACUCUGCCCUUCAUAGGAGUCAGGAAGAAAGGAAGCAAGACAAAAAUCCUAUUGCUGGGACACAAAAGUGAAGGCUGGAACUCAAGUGCAAAGAGGCUGUCCAAAACAGGAAUGGAACUGGAUAAAAUACUGGGGCUUCCUCACUGGAAUGAAGGAUUUGUGGCGAGCUGGACCUGGACAAGGUACACUUGCGAAGGAGUCAAUGGCUCGUAACAUCUUCAUCUCUCCUCAGUAGGAAUCAGAGCUGGAAACCACAAUUUCUAUUUCACUGCUUCCCAGGGCAGGAAUUGGCAGCCAGGAGGCAAGCACAUCAUCACAGCCUUAAGUGCAUAUUUCAUCAUCAGAUGAAGCGGUUUCUCGCAUCAUUUAUUAUUUACCCAGUCACUUUAACAAUCACCUGAUCUCCAAGACAGGUCGAUGGAGUGUUGGGGUCUCCACGUUAAUAUUUAUUUGGCAAUGGACUUUGUACUAGGAAAUAAAAGCAGAUUCCUAAAAGAGCUAUGUUAUCUGUAUUUUUCUAGGACAGCCAUAACAAAUAACUGCAAACUGGGUGGUUUAGAACAAUUCAUUGAAUCACAUUUCUGGAGGUGAAAAGUCUGAAGGAGGACCAUGCUCCUUCUGACACCUAUAAGGGAGGUAUUUUGCCUGGUCUCUCCCAGCUCCUAGUAGGCUCAGGAGCUCCUUGGUUUGUAGGAGCAUAAUUCUAACCUAUGUCUUCCUGUGCACAUGGUGUUCUCGCAGCAGCUUCCCUUUGUGCCUGUCUCUGUGUCCAAACUGUCCCCUUUUUGUAAGGAAACCAGUCAUAUUGGAUUAAGGACCAACCUAGUGACCUCAUGUUAAUUUGACUACCUUUCUAAAGAUCCUUUUUCCAAAUAAGGUCACAUUCCGAGGUACUGGGGGGUUAGCGUUUCAACUUAUCUUUUUGGGAGGAUAGAAUUCAACCCAUCACAUUAUUCUUUCCCAUCCAUUUCAUCACCAAUUGAUCUACCUUCAACCUUCCUUCUAAUCAGAAUCAUAUUCAUAUAAAUAAACCCGAAUAAGAUUCUUUGCUUUGGAAGAGACAGAAGCUUUCUCUGGGUUACUGUAACUGUCCUGAGUUUCCUGUUUCUGCAAAAUAGACAGAAAAAGCUGACUUCUAGCAGACAUUCCAUUACAGUUUGACCAUAGCUACAUGGGAAGUUAUACUAGUGGACACUCCUUUGGAGACAGUUUCUGGUUCUCAGUGCAGAGAACAAAGAACAUUCUUCCUUGGAAAUUGCCUCCACUAUUUUGUAAACAGGAGAGGACUUUUCAAACCUGGUUUUCAAAUAGCCUGAGGCUAAUUGUGCCCUCUCCAAGUUAAUCAUAUACUGGGCUUCCUCUCUCAACUGCUCUCACAAAGCUUGCUGAUUUCUCAAUAGCACGAGAUACUUGAAAAUAAAUGAUUUCUAGAUGCCUUUCAUAAUUCUGAGUCUGCCAUUGUCGUCAUUUUGUGUCUCCUACUAUAAAGGUUAGGGAAAACCCUUGCUUGGCGAGCCAGCAACUCAGGUAUGUUGCCUCAAGGUGAUUCUGCAUCCAUCACUGGACCACAAGCUGAGGUCCCCACACUUGCUUUGUUUUGCUGAGUCAACAGUCGCACCCCAUUGUUUUCAGAAUAAUGCUCUUAAGUGUUAUGUUUCUCCCCAAACCUCUCCUCAUUCAGUGCUGGAAACGUGAGAGCUACCCUUGCCUUCUCCCACUCCCUCACCACCCGUAUCUAAUUCAUCACAAAUCCUCAUCCACACUACCUCUGGCAUUGCUCUCAAGUCAGUUCCUUCUCUUCCGUUCUAAUCUCCUGGUGCUUAGUUCUGGCCAUCAUCAUCAUCAUCAUCAUCAUCAUCAUCAUCAUAUAUAUUUUUAAAAAGGCACAUUUCACACUGGCUACCCUGUUUCUAGUCUUUCCCCUUCCCAAUCUAUUCUCCACACCAUACCCAGUGUGGUCAUUCUAAACUAGAAGUCCGAUCAUAUUGCUCUUUCACUCAAAAUCCAACCUCCAGAUAAAGGGCAAGUGUCCAGACAUGGGACUCAUGCCUCUCCUUGAUCUGGCUCCUGGUAGCCUCCUCCCUUGUCAUCUCUUUCCCUUGCACUCUACCUUCAAACAUCCUGAACUCUUGGCAAUCCCCCAGUUCUGAAGGUUUUUUCUCCUCUUGCAGCCUCUGGGACAUUGGUUAUGCUUCUCCUUCUGUCUGGGAUGCUACCACCCCAACCCUGGCCAACUCCUGCUUGGUCUGCUGGCUGUCUGAACGGCUUUCUUGAUGGUGCCUAUGUGAUUCUAGAGGAAGGGAUCCUGCCACUCUGCUGACUUCCCCAUGGUGCAAAGGACCUGAUAUGGGAUGGGGGAGCAGGGAAGUGCCGGGCAGAGACCCUGGUGAGGGCUUCGCCCUUGGGCCUGUGCCCACAGACCUAAAUGAGGAUAGGCAUUUCUGGUUUUGAGUUCAAAAUGUUGCCUUUUGGCCUGCCACACCCCUCGCCCCAAUCCUGUGCCCAUAAAAAUCUAGGACCAUAGCAGGCACAGACAUGAGUUGUUAGACGUUGAGAGGAGCAGAAGAACACACUGGUAAACACCAGCAGACACCAGCAGGCCAGUGACAGUGGAACGACAUAAACACUGAAGAGAAUUCAGUAAGGGGUGGUCAGAGGGGAGUCCAGCCGCUGGACAGCCCGUCUCCAGGGGAAGGAAGAUCACCCUCCCACUCCAUCCCCCUUUGACUCCCCAUCCAUCUCGCCGAGAGCUACCUCCACCACUCAAUAAAACCUUGCACUCAUCCUCCAAGUCCACGUGUGAUCUGAUUCUUCCAGUACAGUAGGGCAAGAACCCAGGAUACAGAAAGCCCUCUGUACUUGUGAUGGGGAGUUGUAAACACAAACCCCUAGACACUGCCGUGGGGUUGGUUGGAACCCAAACAUGCUCCCCACAACCUCUGCACCUACUUGUCUGCAUGCUCCCCCUAAGGGGCUGAACAGUGGGGCCCCAAAGAAGUGAGCCACACCCCUGUCACAUGCCCUGCAAGGGGGAUAAAGGAACUUCUCCGUUUCACAUUCACCUCUCAGAAGGCUAUCCUGAUGUCAUGACCUAGCCUGCCAUGCCUCUGGGUAGCAUUCCAUUUCUGGAGCCAGGCCUUCCGACUGGGCUGCUCCCAGGCCCUUGCCCAUUCCGGUAAGUGGCUCCCCACUGGUUCUUCUGAUAAGACUGGGGUGUGGUGAGUGAGAUAGGGAGACUCUUGCCUCAGGGACAAUAUUUGAGGGUUGCUGAAAAACUCAGUAAUCAAGAUUCUAUUUUAAUGGAUCAGUAAGAGUGCUUAAAGGAAUAUUUAUAGUUUCGGGUGUUUGAGAAGGAAAAAAAGGUUUCUUCUCCAGCCUUAAGGAGUCAGAAAAAGAAGAAUAAAUGGAACCCAAAAUAGAAGGAAGAAAUCAAGGAAAUAGGAAAUACACCAACAAGAGUUCUGUUUCUGGCAAAAAAAAUUAUCUUCACACAGAUAACAACUAUAAGUGCUGGAAAAAUACAUAAAACCAACUAACCAAGGACCUAGAAAGUGAACCAAAGCAAGCACACUUCACAGGAGAGUUGAAGUUCACAGCAAGCAGUCAGCAUGGGGGAAAUUCUCAUUUUUUUCAGCUUUACCCUAAGGAUAGCUGCAGUUGGGUUGUGUCAUAGGUCAACAAAAGCUCCUGUGAAUAGCUCAUGAUUUUUCUGGCUCAUGAAAAAAAGAGAAGCUCCCAAGGGCAACCAGGGCUAUGGGAGGUGAAAGAAAUCCAAGAAAGAAGAACGCAUGAAAUGGGAAUCCCUAACUCUGUGCAUAAACUCUGGACAAGUCAGUGGGUGACCACUGAACCAUGCAGAGAGAGGGCAGACUGUACCAGUCCAAACUAAGAUCAUAACUACUAUGUAACCACUGGCAAGACCAAGUUUGAAGUUUAACUCUAACCAAGUUUAACUCUAACGAGCCUGCUAAAUGAACAUCCACAUACUUUGUAAAAAGAGAACAAAAUUCAGAAUCUCUACAACAUGUCUUUAACAAUGGUCAGGAUACAAUUCAAAAUUAAAAGACAUACAAAGAACCAGGAAAAUGUGGCUUACUCUCAAGAGAAAAGGUAGUCAAGAGAGCCUAACCCUGGGGUGACCCUGAUGUUGGAAUUAUUACAUAAAGGUUGUAAAAUAGCUGUUAAAACUAUGCUCAGUGAUGUAAAGAAAAUAGGCAAUAAAUGAAAACUUAAGAAAUCUCACUAAAUACAUAGAAUAUAUGAAAAGAACCAAACUAAAAUUAAAAUAUCAUGAACUGAAAAAUAAAAUACCUGAAAUAAAACUUUUACUGGAUGAGUUGAACGACAUAAUGGAGGUGAAAGAGGAAGGGAUAGGUAAGUUUUAAUAUAAAUAAGUAGAAUUAUCCAAACUAAAGUCAAGAAAGAAAAAAAGGACUAAAAAAAGUUUAUCGAACACCAGGAACUUGCGGUAUAAUGUCAAAGGUACUGGCAAAAAAAUCCCAGAAAGAGAAUGGGGCAAAAAAAAAAAAAAAAAAAAAAUUGCAAAAUAA